GAGAGUUAAAUAGUACGUGAAAUUGUUGAAAGGGAAACGAUUGAAGUCAGUCAUGCUAGUGAAAAUUCAGUUUGGUGGGUUUUGGGUUCAGGAGUUGAGGCAGGGUCAAACCGUUUCUCUUUUGAACUUGGAAUUUGUCAGAUGCACUUUUUCUUUGGCAGGUCAGCGUCGAUUUCGGAGGUUGUAAAAUACUUGGGGAAAAGUAGCUCUGCUUCGGGAGAGUGUUAUAGACCUUGGGUGAUGCAGCCUGUGGGAUCGAGGAUUGCAGCAAAUACCUUUGGCUUGUCGCCUGAUCUCUGGACGUCAUCUCGCUUGUAUCAACAUUCUUGGUGCCGGUGAGUAAUGGUGCUCAUAAGGUUAGAGCGAUCAAAAAUUUUGCUAAGGAUGUUGACGUAAUGGCUUUAAACGA
Molecule: ribosomal RNA, 409 nt
Filed under: uncultured Diversispora
Lineage: Eukaryota; Fungi; Glomeromycota; Glomeromycetes; Diversisporales; Diversisporaceae
Description: partial 28S ribosomal RNA
Source: RNAcentral